This 253-nucleotide ribosomal RNA is filed under the name uncultured prokaryote. Its description in RNAcentral is "partial 16S ribosomal RNA". It matches the Rfam family "Bacterial small subunit ribosomal RNA", at positions 525 to 777 of the family's 1533-position model. The record is from RNAcentral.
ACGGGGGGGGCAAGCGUUGUUCGGAAUUACUGGGCGUAAAGGGCUAGUAGGCGGCCGACUAAGUCGGAUGUGAAAUCCCCAGGCUCAACUUGGGAACUGCAUCCGAUACUGGUUGGCUUGAAUCCGGGAGAGGGAUGCAGAAUUCCAGGUGUAGCGGUGAAAUGCGUAGAUAUCUGGAGGAAUACCGGUGGCGAAGGCGGCAUCCUGGACCGGCAUUGACGCUGAUCAGCGAAAGCCAGGGGAGCAAACGGGA